Molecule: ribosomal RNA, 253 nt
Filed under: uncultured bacterium
Lineage: Bacteria
Description: partial 16S ribosomal RNA
Rfam family: Bacterial small subunit ribosomal RNA
Source: RNAcentral
UACAGAGGGGGCGAGCGUUGUUCGGAAUUACUGGGCGUAAAGCGCGCGUAGGCGGAUCGCUAAGUCAGGGGUGAAAUCCCAGGGCUCAACCCUGGAACUGCCUUUGAUACUGACGAUCUGGAGAUCGGGAGAGGUUGGUGGAAUUCCGAGUGUAGAGGUGAAAUUCGUAGAUAUUCGGAGGAACACCAGAAGCGAAGGCGGCCAACUGGCCCGAUACUGACGCUGAGGCGCGAAAGCGUGGGGAGCAAACAGG